CUUGGUCAUUUAGAGGAAGUAAAAGUCGUAACAAGGUUUCCGUAGGUGAACCUGCGGAAGGAUCAUUACCGAGUCGUCGACACGAGUUGUUGCUGGCCCCUCAAACGGGGGGCAUGUGCACGCUCUGUUAACACAUCCACUCACACCUGUGCACACUCCGUAGUUCUAUGGUCUGGGGGACAUGUCGUCUUCCUCCUGUAGUUCUGCGUCUUUACACAUACACUGUAGAAAAGUCUUAUGGAAUGCUUACCGCGUCUAACGCAAUACAAUACAACUUUCAGCAACGGAUCUCUUGGCUCUCGCAUCGAUGAAGAACGCAGCGAAAUGCGAUAAGUAAUGUGAAUUGCAGAAUUCAGUGAAUCAUCGAAUCUUUGAACGCACCUUGCGCCCCUUGGCUAUUCCGAGGGGCAUGCCUGUUUGAGUAUCAUGAACACCUCAACUCUUGUGGUUCGCCAUGAAGAGCUUGGACUUGGGGGCUUGCUGGCGCACAGCCGGCUCCUCUCAAAUGAAUUAGCCUGCCAGUGUUUGGUGGCGUCACGGGUGUGAUAACUAUUUACGCUUGUGGUUGCCUGCCAGGUAACCUUCGGUGACGGAGGUUCGCUGGAGCUUAUAAACGUCUUUCCUUGGUGAAGACAGCUUUUUGAACGUUCGAUCUCAAAUCAUGUAGGACUACCCGCUGAACUUAAGCAUAUCAAUAAGCGGAGGA
RNAcentral lists this ribosomal RNA (706 nucleotides) under uncultured Tomentella. RNAcentral describes it as "eukaryotic LSU rRNA". The stretch from base 273 to 427 matches the Rfam family "5.8S ribosomal RNA". Lineage: Eukaryota; Fungi; Basidiomycota; Agaricomycetes; Thelephorales; Thelephoraceae. The record is from RNAcentral.